This 253-nucleotide ribosomal RNA is filed under the name uncultured bacterium. RNAcentral's name for it is "partial 16S ribosomal RNA". It matches the Rfam family "Bacterial small subunit ribosomal RNA", at positions 524 to 776 of the family's 1533-position model. The record is from RNAcentral.
UACGUAGGGCGCAAGCGUUGUCCGGAAUUACUGGGCGUAAAGAGCUCGUAGGCGGUUUGUCGCGUCUGCUGUGAAAACCUAAGGCUCAACCUUGGGCUUGCAGUGGGUACGGGCAGACUAGAGUGCGGUAGGGGUGACUGGAAUUCCUGGUGUAGCGGUGGAAUGCGCAGAUAUCAGGAGGAACACCGGUGGCGAAGGCGCCGCUCUGGGCCGAAACUGACGCUGAGGAGCGAAAGCGUGGGUAGCAAACAGG